Molecule: long non-coding RNA, 1067 nt
Organism: Nymphaea colorata (pocket water lily)
Lineage: Eukaryota; Viridiplantae; Streptophyta; Magnoliopsida; Nymphaeales; Nymphaeaceae
Exons: 5
Source: RefSeq, a predicted model, not a curated record
AAAACUUCUCGAGCAGAGAGGGCGGGAGAAGAGGAGUAGAUGAGGCGGCAAAAGACCGACUCACAAUCUUCGUUUCUUGAUGUAGAUCUUCUCGAACAGAGAGGGCGGGAGUAGAGGGGUCGAUGAGGGGGCAAAGCCGCAAAAGACCUUCGUUUCUUGAUGUAGAACUUCUGGAGCAGAGAGGGCGGGAGAAGAGGAGUCGAUGAAGCGGCAAAAGACCUUCGUUUCUUGAUGUAGAACUUCUGGAGCGGAGAGGGCGUGGGAAGAGGAGUCGAUGAGGCGGAGCUUGAAUCCCAGAAUAUGUUUGUUUCAACUUUCAAGUGGUAAUGAAGACAAGUUUGGAAGUUAUGUCCUUAAGCAGCAACCAUUAUGACAACGGUUAUGAGAAUGCCAUAUUUUAGGGUGUAUGGAAUGGACAAGGCACUGAUCACCAAAUAAAGGGGUUGCUUUAAUGCCAUAUCUUAGUGUGUAUGGAAUGGAUAAGGCACUGAGCACCAAAUAAAGGGUUUGCUUUUUUUAGUUAUAGGUGGUUGAACUUUAUGUACUCUUACGGUCUUACCUUCUUCAAAGUGGAGUCUUCCUCCAAUAAUGCUCAGUAACUGCAAAAGAAAAAAUGAGUGGCCUCUCUAGCACAGGAGGCCGUCCUAAUAUGUGAUCACCAUUUUGCACAAUUUUUGUGCCAUAGAAUAGCAUGCGGCUAAAUUUCUGCCUCAUCUGUUCAACAUUUUCUGUCUAUCAAGUUAUUGAGGAUUAUUGGAAUCUUUCUCUCUUUCCUUCGUAUCUGGUAAAAUUUCAAUACUGGAUGAUCUUUAGACCGAAAAAGAAAUUUUCUACUUGUCAAGCGGUUGCACUUAUUUAAUAAUAGCUCUAAAAGCCAUGAAAGUGACUCAAAAUCCACUUUGUGGCUCUAUGUUGGUCACUUGUUUUCCAUUUUUUAGGAGAAACAUGGAGAAGCCACACUAGAUUAUCUCCCAAGAUUUUGAGUUUGCUGUAGUAUGUUACUGUAAAGUGUAAACUGUAUUUCUUUUUGGACUAUUAUGGUUCACAUGUAUGAGAGCCUUUUUCUG